CAUCCCCGCCGUGGAGGAAGGAAGCUUUCGGAUAGUAAGCCUCUUUUGUUAGGAAAGAAACAAAGUCCGAUCAGAAUCGGGCUGUUACUGUGACGGUACGUAAGCAUGAAAGCCAGGUUAUUUACGUCCCCAGCAGGCGCUGUAAUGAAGGAGGUGGAAAAGUUUCGUCGUAAUUUUAGUGGGUGUAGAGGGCUCGCAUGCGUUUUUUUAUGUGUGAUGAGACAGCUCCCGUCUCAACCGGAUAUGCUCAUAUAAAGUGCGAAACUAGAGUGCAGGAGAGUAGAGUAGUAUUCGACGUGGCGCGGUGAUAUGUGUAGAGAUGGAGAGGCACACCAGUGGAGGAGUCGUCUCUGUGGUAUGUAUGUCACGGUGACGAGAGAGAGCGUGGAGAGAGCACAAGAUUAGAUCCCGUUAUAGUCCGCCCUGUAAGAGAUGAGUGGGAAGUGGGGUGGGGUUCCCCCCCCAGUGUGGUGCAGAUAACGCAAAAUUCACUCCGCGGGGGGAGUGGGGUCACAAGAGAGAAACUAAAAGGAAGUGGGGGGGCCCCACACGAGGGGUAGAGCAUGUGGUUUAAUUAGAAGCAACGAAAAGCACCUUAUCAUGUCUUCACAUCGUGAGCCAAUCAUAGAGAUAUUGCGUCCCUUUGGGGGGCAGAGUCACAGGUGGCGCAGGUUUGUUUUCAUCUUGUUUCGAGAAAUUUGGGUUAAAGUCCCAAAAAGAGCGCACCCUGUCCUUUUAGUUCCCAGCAUUAAGUUGGGCACUUUAAGGUGACUGCCGGUGACAAACCGGAGGAAGGUGGGGAUGACGUCAAAUCAUCAUGCCCCUUAUGACCUGGGCUACACACGUGCUACAAUGGACGGAACAAAGGGCAGCGAACCCGCGAGGGCAAGCCAAUCCCACAAAUCUGUUUUCAGUUCGGAUCGCAGUCUGCAACUCGACUGCGUGAAGUUGGAAUCGUUAGUAAUCGCGGAUCAGCAUGCCGCGGUGAAUACGUUCCCGGGCCUUUACACACCGCCCGUCACACCACAGGAGUUUUACCCCCCAAAGUCGGGAGGUAACCUUUCAGGAGCCAGCCGCCAAAGGUGGCCCA
RNAcentral lists this ribosomal RNA (1090 nucleotides) under Bacillus subtilis. RNAcentral describes it as "bacterial SSU rRNA". It matches the Rfam family "Bacterial small subunit ribosomal RNA", at positions 389 to 1469 of the family's 1533-position model. The record is from RNAcentral. Lineage: Bacteria; Bacillati; Bacillota; Bacilli; Caryophanales; Bacillaceae.